AACCCUAAACCCUAAACCCUAAAACCCAAACCCUAAACCCUAAACCCUCAACCCUAAACCCCAAACCCUAAACCCUAAACCCUAAACCCUAAACCCCAAACCCUAAACCCUAAGGAGAUUUGUCGUUCUAGAGAUGAUGGUUGAUAUCUUUAAUUUUUCAAAUUAUCUGUCGAUUUUUGUGUCCAAAUUUCCUGUACUAUUUCUGAUAAAAAAAAAUUUGGCGGGAACUUUUUUGUCGAAUUUUUUUUGGCAGAAAAUAUUUUGCGGGAAAUUUUGUCAAAACUUUAUGGCGGGAAAUUUUUUUCCGGGAAUUUUUGGAAAGGAAACCCUAAACCCUAAACCCUAAAACCCAAACACUAAACCCUAAACCCCAAACCCUAAACCCUAAAAAGCUUUGUCGUUCUAGAGCUUGUUGAUUUCUCUUUUUUUUUUAAUUAUAAAUCAAUUUUUUUGUCAAUAUUUCUUGUACUAUUUCUAUCAAAAACUAUUUGGGGGGAAAAUUUUGGUUGGAAUUUUUUUGGCGGAAAAUAUUUUGACGGGAAACUUUUGACAAUAACUUCUGGGCGAGAAACUUUUUGUCUGAAAAUUUUCAUGGUAAAAUAUUUUACGGGAUCUUUUUUGGAAGGAAAACCCUAAUCCCUAAACCAUAAACUCUAAACCUUAAACCCUAAACCCUAAACCAUAAACCCUAAAGAGCUUUGCCAUUUUCCCUUCUAUGGUGGUGUAAGGCGUGGUUGGAUCUAUCCUUCGAUGUAGAUGAUUUCUCUCUUUCACAACAACCUUAGAUGAUGUUCCUAGGAUCUGCUAGUUGAAGGCUAUGGCGGAUUUGGAUUGGAUUUCUCUAAGCUAAUUGGCUAGUUAGAUGUAGAUCUAUCUUGCGGCGGAAGAUGAGGUUCACCCCGGUGGGUUCACCACUUUGCGAACUGAUAACGGUUCAUUUGUGACGAGAUCCUUGAUGGCUAGUCACGGGGAUCCUUAACCGGAUUUUGAUGGUUAAUGGCUUGCUUGAGCUAGCGUCCAACCUCUACCGCCUUGAUUGGAAGGGAGGUUUCUUUGGAAGUAAAGGUAAGUGUAAUUCGUUGGAUUAGAGGGUUAGUUGCGUGGCUUCUUUUUGCUAGGUCAGGGAGAAGAAACUAUUAGAUCUCUGGUUGUGGCGGAUCUACCUUUCCCAAAAGGAAAGUUCCGGGUUGGGUUUGAUCGCAGUGACGGUUUGCGGUGGGGUUCGCGAGCUCCAGCCUAAGAAUUGAUGUCAUGUCCUAGUCCCAAACGAGUCGUCCUUGCUAGCUUCAGAUUUAGUUGGUGGUUUAUUUUUUAGAUGCAAAACCUUAAACCCUAUACCCUAAACCCUAUACCCCAAACCCUAAACCCUAAAUCCCAAACCCUAAACCCUAAGGAGAUUUGUCGUUCUAGAGAUGAUGGUUGAUAUCUUUAAUUUUUCAAAUUAUACGUCGAUUUUUGUGUCCAAAUUUCCUGUACUAUUUCUGUUAAAAAAAAUUUGACGGGAAAUUUUUUGUCGGAAUUUUUUUGGUGGAAAAUAUUUUGCGGGAAAUUUUGUCAAAACUUUUUGGCGGUUGUCAGAAAAUUUUGGCGGGAAAUUCUUUUUCGAGAAUUUUUGGAAAUAAAACCCUAAACCCUAAAACCCUAAACCCUAAACCCUAAACCCUAAACCCCAAACCCUAAAGAUUUUGUCGUUCUAGAGCUAUUUGUUGAUUUUUCUUUUUUUUUUUAAUUAUAAAUCAAUUUUUUUGUCAAUAUUUCUUUUACUAUUUCUGUCAAAAAAAUUUGGCGGGAAAUUUUUGUUGGAAUUUUUUUGGCGGAAAAUAUUAUAACGGGAAAUUUUUGACAAUAACUUUUUGUCAGAAAAUUUUCAAGGUAAAAUGUUUCACAGAAACUUUUUUGGAAGGAAAACCAUAAACCCUAAACCCCAAACCCUAAACCAUAAAUUCUAAACCACAAACCCCAAACCCUAAACCCUAAAGAGGUUUGCCAUUUUCUCUUCUAUGUUGGUGUAAGGCGUGGUUGGAUCUAUCCUUCGAUGUAGACGAUUUCUCUCUUUCACAACAACCUUAGAUGAUGUUCCUAGGAUCUGCUAGUUGAAGGCUAUGGCGGAUUUGGAUUGGAUUUCUCUUGGCUAAUUGGCUAGUUAGAUGUAGAUCUAUCUUGCGGCGGAAGCUGAGGUUCACCACGGUGGGUUCACCACUUUGCGAACUGAUAACGGUUCAUCUGUGACUAGAUCCUUGAUGGCUAGUCACGGGGAUCCUUAACCGGAUUUUGAUGGUUAAUGGCUUGCUUGAGCUAGCGUCCAACCUCCACCGCCUUGAUUGGAAGGGAGGUUUCUUUGGAAGUAAAGGUAAGUGUAAUUCGUUGGAUUAGAGGGUUAGUUGCGAGGCUUCUUUUUGCUAGGUCAGGUAGAAGAAACUAUUAGAUCUCUGGUUGUGGCGGAUCUACCUUUCCCAAAAGGAAAGUUCCGGGUUGGGUUUGAUAGCAGUGACGGUUUGCGGUGGGGUUCGCGAGCUCCAGCCUAAGAAUUGAUGUCAUGUCCUAGUCCCAAACGAGUCGUCCUUGCUAGCUUCAGAUUUAGUUGGUGGUUUAUUUUUUGGAUGCAAAACCUUAAACCCUAUACCCUAAACCCUAAACCCCAAACCCCAAACCCUAAAUCCCAAACCCUAAACCCUAAGGAGAUUUGUCGUUCUAGAGAUGAUGGUUGAUAUCUUUAAUUUUUCAAAUUAUAUGUCGAUUUUUGUGUCCAAAUUUCCUGUACUAUUUCUGAUAAAAAAAAAUUUGGCGGGAACUUUUUUGUCGAUUUUUUUUGGCAGAAAAUAUUUUGCGGGAUAUUUUGUCAAAACAAUUUGGCGGUUGUCAGAAAAUUUUGGCGGGAAAUUUUUUUCCGGGA
This 2893-nucleotide long non-coding RNA is filed under the name Capsella rubella. RNAcentral's name for it is "long non-coding RNA (CRUB_LNC000186)". Lineage: Eukaryota; Viridiplantae; Streptophyta; Magnoliopsida; Brassicales; Brassicaceae. The record is from RNAcentral.